CUUGGUGAUUAUGGAGAAGGGGGUACACCUAAACCCAUUCCGAACUUAGAAGUUAAGCCCUUCAUCGCCGAUGGUACUGCAUUCAAGAGUGUGGAAGAGUAGGUCGUCGCCAAGU
RNAcentral lists this ribosomal RNA (115 nucleotides) under Waddliaceae bacterium. The record is from RNAcentral. Lineage: Bacteria; Pseudomonadati; Chlamydiota; Chlamydiia; Parachlamydiales; Waddliaceae.